AGCUUGUGUUGAGAAAUUUUAUUACCAUGAUGAGGACAUGCAGCAUCAGGCUGCCAACAUUGAACUAAAGAAGUUUCAGAACAGAGAAGGACCCUUUAGCUUGCUAGGACUUUUGAAAAUUUUGAUUACAACCCAGCAUCAUGGUGGAGAUUGUAUGGAUAUGAAACACCAGCUUUACAGAAGAUGGCUACAAGGAUCCUAUCUUUGACAUCAAGCUCUUCUGGUUGUGAAAGAAAUUGGAGUGGGUUUGAAGCGAUACACACUAAGAAGAGGAAUAGGCUUACUACAGCCCGCCUCAACAAGCUGGUGUAUAUCCAAUUCAACUCCAAGCUGCUUAGUAAGAGAG
Molecule: long non-coding RNA, 346 nt
Organism: Sorghum bicolor (sorghum)
Lineage: Eukaryota; Viridiplantae; Streptophyta; Magnoliopsida; Poales; Poaceae
Exons: 3
Source: RefSeq, a predicted model, not a curated record